This 443-nucleotide ribosomal RNA is filed under the name uncultured bacterium. RNAcentral's name for it is "partial 16S ribosomal RNA". It matches the Rfam family "Bacterial small subunit ribosomal RNA", at positions 338 to 795 of the family's 1533-position model. The record is from RNAcentral.
CCUACGGGGGGCUGCAGUGGGGAAUAUUGGGCAAUGGGCGCAAGCCUGACCCAGCAACGCCGCGUGAAGGAAGAAGGCUUUCGGGUUGUAAACUUCUUUUAUCAGGGACGAAGCAAGUGACGGUACCUGAUGAAUAAGCCACGGCUAACUACGUGCCAGCAGCCGCGGUAAUACGUAGGUGGCAAGCGUUAUCCGGAUUUACUGGGUGUAAUGGGCGUGUAGGCGGGAGUGCAAGUCAGAUGUGAAAACUAUGGGCUCAACCCAUAGCCUGCAUUUGAAACUGUAGUUCUUGAGUACUGGAGAGGCAGACGGAAGUCCUAGUGUAGCGGUGAAAUGCGUAGAUAUUAGGAGGAACACCAGUGGCGAAGGCGGUCUGCUGGACAGCAACUGACGCUGAGGCGCGAAAGCGUGGGGAGCAAACAGGAUUAGAUACCCCUGUAGUC